CACAGAUAGGUACCAACAUUUCAAAAAAACGGUAAAGAGACUUGUAUGAAAAACCGAAGACACCAUUAACCAACCAACCAACCAGGUAAAGAGUUUACAAAUUGCAUGAGGCGGGAAAGUCCAAUAGGCUCAACCUAAUAUAGACUUGACAGAGACAUAGACACAUGACAACGAACUUUUUGAAAAGUUGCUAGACAAUAGUUCCUACCCAAGAUUCCUCAUAUUAUUUUAUAACCCCCUCAAAGCCAUACACAUGUUGAACAUUGUUUGCAUCUUCAGAGAUAGGUACACCCCAUCAUGGGAGNNNNNNNNNNNNNNNNNNNNNNNNNNNNNNNNNNNNNNNNNNNNNNNNNNNNNNNNNNNNNNNNNNNNNNNNNNNNNNNNNNNNNNNNNNNNNNNNNNNNNNNNNNNNNNNNNNNNNNNNNNNNNNNNNNNNNNNNNNNNNNNNNNNNNNNNNNNNNNNNNNNNNNNNNNNNNNNNNNNNNNNNNNNNNNNNNNNNNNNNNNNNNNNNNNNNNNNNNNNNNNNNNNNNNNNNNNNNNNNNNNNNNNNNNNNNNNNNNNNNNNNNNNNNNNNNNNNNNNNNNNNNNNNNNNNNNNNNNNNNNNNNNNNNNNNNNNNNNNNNNNNNNNNNNNNNNNNNGGGGCUAUGUUUUUUUUUUGCUUUGACUGCUACUAUUUAGGACCAUAGGCCGCGAUCUGUUGCUCCAGCUGCAUUAAAAGAAGAAUAAAAUAAUGAUUAUGACAUGCCUAAAGCGCAUAAUGUUUGUCAAGUCACAAGGAUUCACAAAUCAGCCAUGUUACAAGGUGGUUGGUAUCUUAUUCCGGUCAUUGCCCACGUUGACAAACAAAGAAAUUAUACGGCUUAAAACUACCAAAUCUAGCGACUGAAAUGUCAUGACUAAAUAUAAGACAGAAACAUUUCAGACCCCUAAUAAAACAAACAGUAUAUCUAGAUAAAUAUCAAUAGCAAAAAUAAUGAGAUCAAGCUUUCUUAAACAAUCCAUGACUGAUCCGUAGAUUAUGACACUAGUCAGAAUUUGGAAGUCAAAAGCCAACAUAGGCACAUAAGGGGCUACCUGCAUCAUUGUCUGGAACUUGUUGCACACAUCGCAAAACUCAUUCCUAAGAAGAGCCAGCGCCAUGAGGCACCUGCGAUAAUGCAAACAUACCACAUUGUCAAAUUCUGUAGUGAAUAAUUACGCGAAUUGAACUGUGGAAAUCAUAAGCCUCUGCAUGAAAAAAAAUACAUCUAGCCAUCUCAGACUUAGUCAUGCUAUAAAUGUAAGUCUAGAACUACCAAGUUACAAUAGAAUAAUCAUAGAGGCAUAUUCAGUAAUGAACCAAGUUCUACCAUCACAUGGUUGCACAUAAAGUGAACGCCAGUCCUUGAGAAUAUUAGAUUGGUAUGAACAUAGUAUAGUGGUAUAAAAGAGGAAAUUAGCCGGCAGGUUUACAUAUAGAAUGUGAACAAUACAGGGUGUGGAGAAUAAUUAUUGUGAACAUAUAUAAUAAGGUACUAAGUAUACUGACCCUUCUUUGCUUCUUGCCUCGAUGUACUGAUUGAAGUGCAUGCAGGAGAGGUUCACUUUCUUCGCACCGACACUGAUACAGGCCAAAAAGAGCAAGAUCAGGACACUAUAAGUUUCUGAAACAUAUUAAACGUUGCUGCUGUCAUAAUGAUGUUCUCAAGGAGCCAUUUUAUCUAGGGGUUGUAAACACAAUAAAUUGUUUGAUCAACCAAAAGAAUAAAUAGCGGUAGCCUUAAAUGCAAUUGUAGAUGUACUCAAGAUGUAUAUUGCCAUUAGCUAAAUAUAAUAAUAGAUUUGUCCUCAAGACGACAAAGUAUUCCUUGAAGAGCUAUAUCAUGACCAUUGGCAUGGAUAAUGAUAACUCCAUGUGUAACAACAGAACUCAGAUCUUAUACUUAUGUAUAUCUGACAGCCGCAAACGACACCGCGCCGAUACAUCCGAUCAUAAACGUGGAUACACCAAAAAAACUACCAUCGGGAUUACACACAUAAAUAUACCAAAUUAAUAAUACCAGAACCGUUCACAACGCGACGUACUAACCAUAAUAUUGCCGUUAGCAUGAAUACCGGUACUUCCUCUACAUGAAACACAAGUAAACUCGACACUUCUACCUAUGACAACACAACAACGCAAACAACUACAUAAACUGCUUGCCCAAGACAAACACAUCUAAAUCACACCGACAUGGAUGUGGCGGAGAACAAACAAACAGUUAUAAAUGGGCCUGAGAAAGAAAAGGGCUUAUCAUCAUCACCUGCAGCUGCAGCCCUUGACCCGAUGCACCAGGUCGUCCACCUUGUCGAAGUCUGGCACGGGCUCGUUCCUGCGAAUCGGAAAGCGGAGAGAAUGAAAUCAGUACCGAAGAUGAGAUGACGAAAGCAGAUAGAGAGAGAGGAGAGGUUGGGGGCUGACAGCAGGCCGGCGAUGUCGUUGAUGAUCCCGUUGGCGUUGCCGAUGAAGAGCUUUAUGACCUCGACGACCAAGCCCGGGCCUGAGCUGCCAUCCUCUUCCCUUACAACUUCGAGUGAGUGUUACUGUCUUGUGCAUAUUCGGUUUCCCUUAUUAGUCGAGGUUAUAGUAAUGUAAUUGAUGAAUUAUGCAUGCGUGCGCAGGUUCCACUAUAUUCUUCUAGAGAUUACGCUUGAGCAGGGACUAGUAACCGUCUUAGACUUGAGACGAAAAGAUCCCAAGAAGUACGCGGACAUGACUGAAAUUCUAGAGAAGUAAGUUAAAUCUAUCAUUAUCGCACCAUAUCGACAACUUCAAUUUGUUCAUUUGCUGAUAUCAAGUAAUUGUUUUCUUUGUCUGACAGGGUUUGGAGUAAAUUCACCUCAAAAACUCCGGGACUGCCAAAGAAGCUGCAGUUUAGACAUCCGAAAGUAAGUACUAUAGUAGCAUAUAUGUUUCACGCAUCUCCUAGUGAUUCAAGCGCUAGUUUCAUCAAUACCAUUUAGCAUGCUUGCUAAUUAUCAGUUUGAUUGACCUAUAUUUCUUGUAAAGUGGUUGUGGCAGGAAGAAGGGACUAAUUACUGUGGAUACUACAUUUGCGAGUCCAUCCGCCACACGACCUGUGAGCGGGGCUACUCCGAGAAACAAUAUAAAGUGCGUAAAUAAUUAUAUUCACAAUUUUAUUUUAUUACCAUCAUUUGUGUUCAGUUUCAUUUAUUCAUAUAUAUGUAUUGACUCCCUUCUUCAAAUUAGAUAUUUCGGAUGCGAGAUGAACUCCUAGCACCAGAUCGUAUGCGAGGAAUUCAAGAGGAAUUGGCGGCAUUCUUUCUUGACCACGUGAUCGCUAAAGAUGGAGAAUACUAUGUGGACCCUGCGGGGUUCAAUUUUAAUUAGGAGAUUAUAUUGUAAAAGAUACUUAUAUUGUAUAUAUGUAGCCAGUAGCGUCGGAUAGAUAUACGAAAACUUGUUGUUCGACCAAUCUCUCAGAGAAGGAGAGGUGGUCGAUAUCACUUCUCUUUGUAUGCAUCUGUUCAUGACGAUCUUCUGUUUCCUUCAUUUGCUUAACUAGCUAGCGUGUCUAGUCCUCUCUAUACGUAUAGUACGUAGCGUCGACCAAGCACGGAGAUAAGAAAGGACACUUCUCUCUAUUAAUUAGCAUGCUAACACAAUAUAUGAAACACCUAAAUUAACCCCCCAAAACCCCAAACCCUUCCCCCCUUUCAAAAAAAUAAAAACCCAGCACCUGAGAUGCUGACACGUGGAUGCCUAUUGGUCCCGGUUGGUGCCACCAACCGGGACCAAAGGGCCUCCUGCCUGGGCUCGCCGCACUGGCCACGUGGAGGCCCAUCUGUCCCGGUUUAUGCAAGAACCGCACUACAAGAAAUAUGCUCAUAUGUGAUGUUUUUUAAAAUGUCGUUGACGAAUUCGUCAUAAAUCUAUGAUGAUUUCAUCCGACAUCAUCGUAAACCGUUUGAGGGGAUCAAAUGUACAUAUAAAUUACGACGAUGUGAGUCAAAACGUCGUAACCGCAUAAGAUGAGAUCGUCAUAACUUUUACGACGACUGUAAAAAUGUCGUAACAUGUUCUAACUAUGUUGACAUGUCACUCGUGGGUCCAUUCUAUCCCACCCGAUCCUAGUUUGUGAAGCAACCUACUAUUCUAUCAUUCCGAAAAUUCUCGAAAAAUUCUCAUAAAUACUUUGGACUGUAUAUUUCUCAAAUAUGUGAAAACCCUCCCUUCCAUAGUUCAAAAAUAAUUCAAAAAUAUUCAUUUUCCUAUUCUGUUCAGAAUAGCACUUUGUGUAGGAAGUGCUAUUUAUGUUUCUUUGAUUACCCUCAUAUUGUUUGGGCACUCUUUCCUAUCCAAAUCAUUGCCUCAUGAAACUUUCGUAACGAUUUGCCAAGUAAAUCUUUCUCAGCAAAUUUCCAAAGUUUGUGUUCAGCUAACAGCUUUGUGAAGGAAGUACUAGAUAAGAAUAUCCUGAUGAGUUGAAUUUUUUCCACAUCAUCUAUGUGCCCAAAACAUAGCUCUCCAUAAAAUUUUAGCCACAUCUAACAAUCCACGUGAGCUCAUCAUCCAAUCUUUGUUUCUGGUAAUAUUUUCAUUUUGUGAAGCAACUAGACUUUAUAUUGCUUUAUAGUUGAUGAAAAUUUACCACGGGAUGACACUGACCAUAUAACCUCACUCCACCAAAUUUUAACUCAUUUAAUUCAGCCAGUUUCCCUCAAUAUUUUUCCCAAUAUUCUGUUCAGUAGAGAGCAUUGUGAAGGAAGUAUAAUUUUUCUUUAUCCAAAUUUUAUGAAAUUUUUACAGUACCUUAAUGUGCCCAAAUUAUCAUCCUCCUCCAAAUUUCAGCUCAAUCCAAUCAUCUAUGUGAACCCAGUUUCAAUUACCAUUUUUUGUCCAGAUUGGCACAUUGUAAAGGAAGUGUCACUUUUGCAUCUCCAAAUGUUAUAAUUUUUAUACAGUGCCUUCAUACGCCCAAAUUAACAUCAUACACCAAAUUUCAGCUCAAUCCAUUCAUUCAUUUGAUCCCAUCUUCAACAUUCAUAUUUCUGCACAAUGUGUUAGUUUGCAAAGCAAGUGCCACCUAGAUUCAUCCAUUUGAGCUAAAAUUUUGCCAAGAGAGUCUCCUUAGUAGAUGAUCAUACUCAGCCAGAAUUUAGUCCCAUUUUCUAUGUGAAUUACCCGCACCGCUAAUCAAACACUUGGCUGCUAAUUUAUGUUUGAGCUUAGUUCAAUCUUCUCGUGAGAUUAUUCUAUUGUAUUCUUAUUGCUAACACCUACCGAGGGAUUGUCCAACCCACCAGACAUGCCUAUUCCACCUAGAACGCGUGGCAACGCAACGGUCAGGCGGUGACCAUGCGGCUGGCAUGCAAGUUCACGCGCUUUGGAGUUGGGGCCCUCGACCACCAUCCAAACCUCUACGUCAAGGCACCACACCAUGUAUUUCCAAUUAAAUAGAUACUUAUAUACCUAUAAAUGAUUUUUGGGAAAAAUAAAGAGCAAACUAUAAUGCAGCUGCAGUUCAAAUUUAACCCGCUUCCAGCUGAAUCGACAUAAAUUUGUCUUUUUCACGAGAGGUGGACAAAAGAUUUUAACACCUAACCAUUUUGUCAAUUGUACAUUAAAUAUGGACUAGUAUUUUAUAAAAAUAAUUUGGUCUAAUUUUGAAACAAAUAUAUGGUAGGUCCUUCACAAAAAAACUCAUUUUGGUCACUUGAAAAAUGGAAAAUGAAUUUUUCAUACAAGGGAAAUGAAAACUUCCUUAAUCAACAUUGUUUGCCAUUCCAAUAUGCACCCUUGUGCAUAAUAUUAUAUCAUUUCAACAAGCUAUGUCAUGAAUGUGGUCAUAAGAUUGAUCAUUUGGCUUGAAAGCCAAGAAUCUUCACACAUGAUAGCCCAUUUCUAAGAACACUUAUUUAAAAUAAUUGUCGCAUUACUUGUUUAUUAUUUUUCCUAGUAACGUUGUCACAUAUAAUGACACAAUGCAAUGGUUUUCCAUUUUUUUGAAUUUGUUUUGAAUUUUUCAUGGCCAUUUCAAAAGGCGGUCAAAACAUCGGGUAUGACCGUUCCUACCUAGUGGUUGAACCUUGACAAUAUUUUGAUGUUUCUAUGAUUAAAUAGAUACUUGUGUACCUAAAACGAUUUUUAAGAAAAAUAAAGAGCAAACUAUAAUGUAGCUGCAGUUCAAAUUUGACCCGCUUUCAGCUGAUUCAACGAAAAUUUGUCUUUUUCACGAGAGGUCGAUAAAAUCCAUUAACACCCAACCAUUUGGUCAACUGUACAUUAAAUAUGUCCUAGUAUGUUAGAAAAAUGAUUUGGUACAAUUUUGUUACAAAUAUAUGGUAGGUCCUUCACAAAAAAACUCAUUUUGGGCAAUUAAAAAUGGAAAAUGAUUUUUUCAUGCAAGGAAAAUGAAAACUUCCUUAAGUAACAUUGUUUGCCAUUUCAAUAUGCACCCUUGUGCACAAUAUUAGAUCUUUUGGACAAACUAUGCCAUGAAUGUGACCAUAAGAUUGAUCAUUUGGCUUGAAAGCCAUUAAUCUUCACACAUGAUAGCUCAUUUCCGAGAACAUUUUUAAAAAAUAAUUGCCAUAUUACAAGGUUAUUAUUUUACCUAGUAACUUUGUCACAUAUAAUGACACAAUGUGAAGGUUUUCUAUUUUUUUUAUUUUUUUUGAAUUUUUCACGUCCACUUCAAAAUGUGGUCAAAACGGCGGGUAUGUCGACCAUUCAUAUUAUUUGAAAAUGUAACAAGCUCUCAUGUUUAUGAAAUUUGGUGUGGUAUUGGUUUAUAGUCCCUAGAAGACGUGGAAAGUUUGUGAAAAAAAUUACUAAGUUUUAUCAUGUUUAUUUUGACAAAAGUAAUAGUCUAAAGAAACACAAAUUAUUUAAAGCUUUCCUAUUGGAUGGAAUAGAGCUCUCGUGGAUCGAUGACCUGGUUCUAUUCAACUGCGCAAGGAAGGCUGCGAGGAGAGCGUGCGGUGGCGCCGCCAGGGUGGUGUCGCGGCUGCGGGUGGUCCGAUGCAUGACGGCGUAGGAUGCCGCGCAGCUCAAGAGCGCGCGGGAGGACAUCAAGGAGAUCCUCAAAACCACCGACUGCCACUCCAUCCUGGUACCUCCUCGCUCUCUCUCUACAUAUACAUGCUUUCAGCUCUACCUCCAGGUUGCAAAUCCAUCAUCGUAUUUCUUUCCUGCUAACAAACUGAAUAAAGCUUGACCGCAUCAAAAAUUUCAUCUGUACCGCUCCAAAGUUCUCUUCACUUGCCGUUUUAUGAGCGCAAAAGCAGUGACACGCUCGUCCGUCGCUGCCGGUGAGACUGGGCAUUGUGCUGGUCUCCGGCUGCCACCUCGCAUUGAUCCAACGGACGGGUGACGACGAUGAAAACAGUUGGUGCACCACGCCGCAGCCACCCGUGCCAGUGUCUUUUGGAUGGAGCACGAGGUUGGCCUGUGUGUGUUUUGCUUCUUGGAAUCUUGGCAUCAUCGAAGCUGCUAUCAAAAGGAGUUGAGAUGAGUGCUUCACAUAGCUAAUGGCCACAUCGAAGUUGAAUUUUUUCCACAUCAUCUAUGUGCCCAAAACAUAGAUUCCUCUAUUUUUAGUAUUUGCAAACUACUCCCUCCGUCCCAAAAUAAGUGUCUCAAGCUUAGUACAAGUUUGUACUAGAGCUUGUAUAAAGUUGAGACAGUUAUUUUGGGACGAAGGGAGUAUUUUAAAUCACUGCUUUUCCGAACCAAUCAAAACCCUUCCCACGGAUCGAUGACAUGGCGCCCAUCCAUCCAUCCAUCCAUCUCUUCAUCCCACAUCCAUCCAUCCAUCUAUCUACAGAAAAAAAAACUAAAAAAAGCAACCCAAACCCUAGGUCAGAUCCCCCCAUCCCACCCUUCCUCCCUAGUCCCCAUCUCCUCGCCGCCGCCGCCACCUCCUCCCCGUCCCCGCCCCCCUCCCGAUCCCCACCACCUCGUUCGAGGACAGGGACCGCGGGCUGUCCUCGUCGGAGGCGGCGGCGCGGCGGCGCGCGCACGGGCCCAACGAGCUGCUCGACCACCCGGGGCACUCGGUGCUGCAGCUCAUGGCGCAGCAGUUCGAGGACACGCUGGUGCGCAUCCCUCUCGCCGCCGGCGCCGUCUCGUUCGCGCUCGCGCUCUCCUCGUCGGCCGGCGCGCUCACGCUCUCGGCCUUCGUCGAGCCGCUCGUCAUCUUCCUCAUCCUCGUCGUCAACGCCGCCGUCGGGGUCUGGCAGGAGACCAACGCCGAGAAGGCGCUCGAGGCGCUGCGCCAGAUCCAGUCCGACCACGCCGCCAUGCUCCGCGACGCCGAGUGGGCGCCCGCCCUCCCCGCGCGCGACCUCGUCCUGGGGGACGUCGUCAUGGUCCGCGUAGGGGACAAGGUCCCCGCCGACAUGCGCGUCCUCAGGCUCGUCUCAUCGAACCUCCGGGUCGAGCAGGGGUAGCUCACCGGCGAGACCAACUCCGUCAACAAGACGGCCCACGCCGUGCCGGCCGACGAUGCCCACAUCCAGGCCAAGGACUGCAUGGUGUUCGCGGGCACCACCGUCGUCAAUGGCAGCGCCGUCUGCCUCGUCGUGCAUACCGGGAUGGCCACCGAGAUUGGCAAGAUCCACUCGCAGAUCCACGAGGCCUUGCAGGAGGACGAUGACACGCCGCUCAAAAAGAAGCUCAACAAGUUCGGCGAGGCGCUCACCAUGAUCAUCGUCCUCAUAUGCAUCCUCGUGUGGCUCAUCAAGGUCAAGUACUUCUUGACCUUCGAGCUCGACGGAUGGGUGCCCAUGAACAUCCAUCCAUCUAUCUACAUCCAUCCAUCCAUCUACAUCUAAGCAAUCGUUUUUGUUUGCUAAUGUGAUAGGUAUUACUUGGUGUGGACCGGCUAGACAUGAUUAAAGGACUCCUGCAAAAGGUGUUGGCCUUUGAUAAAAUUCUUGUGGAAAACAAGGAAUUGGAUUCUGAAUACAAAGUAGUUCUACUGCAGAUUGCAGUGCCAACCAGAAGUGACGUACCUGAAUGUAGGAUUCAUUUUUAUGGUUUAUAAUUUGUUCGUGCCUUCUAUGCAAAUAACUCGUAUAAUGGACAUGCAGAAUAUUUACUUACUUGAAUGGGUUUAUAAUUAAGUACAAUGUGAUAUCAUGCUUCAGAAAUAAUAUACCUUCUAGGCUUCUACUAGCUGAAGUAAUGGAACUCCCAAGUUUGUUGCUGACACUUCUUGUGAAUGAAAUAGAAGAUGCGGUAAUGUUUGAAGUGUUUUGUCCAGAACAUAAAUUUCUGCAUGAUUGGGUUCCUUAGAAUAUUUCAGAGUACUGUUUUUAGUAAUCAUUGAACGCAUAUUACUAUUGGUAAUUCUCUACUUUUAAUUUGCAAAAUAAAAAUGCCUCAUUAAGAUUUAAGGGUCCAAGUCCCAAGAGUCUAAUACCACACACACAGUCGGCCAUUCUUAAAUUUUGCAUCCUAAUGAACUUCUUUUCUGACAGAAAAUAAUGCUACUCUGAUACUGAUGACAUAAUUACAAUCAAUUCCCUCACACCCUUAGCUCUUCAAAUUAUAUAUGUUUUGGGUUUUCACACAUUUGGUACCUCUGCCCGGCGAAAACAUAGGGGUUAAUCAUGUUGUGCAAUUCUAUUCAGGCCUAGUUCAGGGAACUACCCGAAGGCGUGCUUGAUAGCCUCUCACCGGAGCAAGUCCUGAACUGCAGCAGCCUCUCCUUCCAACGGCGACCAAGGUAACCUAGACCUCUUUCAUCUCUUCUGCUUCGAUUUAUUGUUGAGUUACUGGCCUGUUGUUGCUCGUCAAGUGCUGCUGCUGUGCUUUGCCUCUGCUGAUUGCUUACGUUGUUCAUGUGUUGCUGCUGCUGAUUGAUGUUUAUGUGAUGCUGCUGCUAAUUGCUUAUUGUUGCUGCUGUUGUGCUCUGCCUCUGCUGAUUGCUUUAUGUUGUUCAUGUGCUGCUGCUGAUUGAUGUUCGAGGGGUUCGUGGACGAGGAGUCCGAUGGCGAGGUCAAGCCCUUCCCCGCCGGCAGGAGCGGCUUCUCCGGAGGUAAAGAAAGGGCCCCUGUCAGCCCCGCGUCGGUUUGGGUGCUUCUGUUUGCCCUGCUCCUCUAACCUCUCAGGUGAAUAGACGGUUUCUUGGGCCCGUUGUGCGAUGGAUGGAUCCGGCGUCUAGGCCGCCUCUUCGGAGAUCCAUUGGAUUUCCUGCUCUGCUCAGGAUUUGGGGUGGUCGAUUUGAGUCGUUUGGUGGGUUGGUGGUCGGAUUCGCAGCAGUAGCUAGAUGUAAUGUCGAUUUGUGCUAAUUUUAUGUGAAUGCUCAUUGCAACUUAAUUACCCCGAUUUCAUAUCUAAACUUUUCCUUUGUCAUGUGACUGAGAUAUAUCUAGAAAAAGAUCCUUGAUGCAACUCCGAUGACUGAUUAGAGAAGCUUGAUGUUUAUUUUUGUGAAAAAUAUGGUGUUGUAUCCCCCCGCAAAGAAAAAAAGAAGGAAAAUAUGGUGUUGUAGAUGUGGCUUGUUCUGGAAAACUUUUAUCUCCCCUCCCCCCGGGAUUUCUCUGCACGUAGGUUCUCUGCAAUAUUUUGAGGGUGGAAACUUCUCUCAUGGUGUAUUUGCAAGUAUAUUUAUGGAUCGUUGUUUAUUAGUCAAGGUUCUACUUGGUGCUAGUUUCCCGAUCCCUACACUGAUUAUAGUUUCCUGGUAAGGUUCCACUUCCUCUAUUUUCAUGCAUGGAUCGGAUCCUGGAGUAUAUUUCAUUUAAUAUGCCUCUGGUAUCUAUUUCUUUUUAUCAGGCCUUAUCGGUACUGAUUCUAUAUGCUAGAUGUACUGCUAUUAAUCCUGCUGACCCUCACAUCCUGAUUACUGUCAAUGGUGCACUAAUCUAUAAAUCAGAAGGUAUUUCCUGAUACCUGAUUAAACUGCUAUUGAAGUUUGAGUGCUAAUGCAGCAUAUCAUUUUGAUUAAAGAUUAAUAGUAGGCAAUGUAAACUGUAGUCAAUAAUUCAGGUAAAAACUUAAAGAUUCAUAGUAGGCUAUGUAAACAGUAGUCCACAGAGAAAGUACGUCGUUGUUUCCAUGGUAUUUUUGCUUUGUAGGCAAUAUUACGGUCCAAUGUUUUUUUGUUUUGUCUCUUUCUCUGUUGCUAGGAAAGUGGUGAGAAGAUGUCGAUGAUGCCUACUUGGGACAUUCAAAUCAACACAACAUAAAAAUUUCUGAACCUAUGUCUCAUAGAAGGGUGGAAUGAACUCCAUUGUUAGCAGAUGUGCCAUUGUUUUAUUGUGGAAUUCUGUCUGUUCUUGCUAUAUUUCUGUGUAAGGAAAAUGUAUUCAUGAGAUGAGUUAUUGUGUUAUGUAAACUUGGGAGAUGUAUUAUGUGAUGUUAUAUGAUGGAUGAUUUUAAUUUGACUUGGAGUUUUCUUGAUUUGAAUAUGAAAUAGUAUUGGAUUUAAUAUUGGACAAAUAAUUGGGUUGAAAAGGCCCAACAAAUAGAAAAGAGACCAAGUUCUGGAACGAAAAGUUGUUGAAUUUAAAAAUGAAAAAAAGGCCAAAAUUGAAACUGGACCAAAUGUAUUUGGGCACUAAAAGGCCGGGGCCCAAAUUAUAAGGAUACAAAAAGAAUUUGAAAAAAAUAUAUUAAAGUGGUUGUAAAUAGGCUAAGGCCCAAAAAGAAGCCCAAUAAGAAAAAGCUCAAGAAAAUAAAAUCAGCCCAUGUGAUCAAUUGAAAUGGGUUGGGCUGAUUUCAACCUUGACGUUUUGAUUUCGUCGUAAUUUUGCCACGUAGGACUGGGUUAGAUUGCCAACGACAAUUUAGGAUCGUCGUAAAGGUUACGACGAUCCAGGAAUCAUCGUAAAAGUUACGACGAUUUCGAUCAAAACGUCGAUGUUGUUCAUUUCUGACGCUCCGUUUUCGACGCUUGGUUUUUCGUCGUAAGAUCGUCGUAAACUAAAAACCGUGACGAUGUAGCGACGAAAAUAUAGCGUCGUGUAUUAGCAUAUUCCUUGUAGUGCCGGAACUAAAGGUUUAGGGCAUUAGUACCUACACUUUAGUCCCGGUUCAAAAACCAGGACAAAUGGCCCUCACGAACCGGGACAAUAGGUCCUUUCUCUACUAGUGUAAUAAAAAUAUGAAAUGCAAAGAUUUUUAUGGAAGUGACGAUCUUUACACGGGCAUGCUCAGGGUAGGUAACGGCGUCCGUGGCGGAGAACAGUUAAGAAACCCAGGUUCUCCUAUGCUUCACAGCACCCUGCCGUGCCAACCACUAGGUCACUGGAUUCAUGACCCCCUCGAUGUUCUACCACGGCAAUAUUUCACACACCCUUCAUCCUUCUCUCCCCCUCCAAGAAAACCCUUGUCCUCUCCUCCGCCCACAUAGCUGGUUCAUUCUCCGGCGAUGGUUUUCCGGGGGUUCUGGUGGCGGUGGAGAGACGAACCAGCGACACUCAUAUUGUAUCAGCCAACAUGGAUUGGCACUCACUCAGUUGUAGCUUUAGAGAACCAAACAACCUUUCCCCUUGCUCACAGAGAGGCACCAACAUUUCAAAAAAUUGUAAAGAGACGUGUAUGACAAACCGAAGACACCAUUAACCAACCAACCAGGUAAAGAGUUUACAAAUUGCAUGAGGCGGGAAAGCCCAACAGGCUCAACCUGGUAUAGACUUGACAGAGACAUAGACACAUGACAACGAACUUUUCGAAAAGUUGGAAGACUAUAGUUCCUACGCAAGAUUCCUCAUAUUAUUUGAUAACCGCCUCAAAGCCAGACACAUGUUUGCAUCUUCAGAGAUAGAUACACCCCAUCAUGGGAGGGAUCACAUUGGGGCUCUGUUUUUUUUUUUUUGCUUUGACUGCUACUAAUUAGGACCAUAGGCCGCGAUCUGUU
Molecule: long non-coding RNA, 12853 nt
Filed under: Hordeum vulgare
Lineage: Eukaryota; Viridiplantae; Streptophyta; Magnoliopsida; Poales; Poaceae
Description: long non-coding RNA (HVUL_LNC008473)
Source: RNAcentral